UUGAACGCUGGCGGCAUGCUUUACACAUGCAAGUCGAACGGCAGCGCGGGGCAACCUGGCGGCGAGUGGCGAACGGGUGAGUAAUAUAUCGGAACGUACCCAGAAGUGGGGGAUAACGUAGCGAAAGUUACGCUAAUACCUCAUACGAUCUACGGAUGAAAGUAGGGGACCGCAAGGCCUUAUGCUUUUGGAGCGGCCGAUAUCUGAUUAGCUAGUUGGUGAGGUAAAGGCUCACCAAGGCGACGAUCAGUAGCUGGUCUGAGAGGACGACCAGCCACACUGGAACUGAGACACGGUCCAGACUCCUACGGGAGGCAGCAGUGGGGAAUUUUGGACAAUGGGCGCAAGCCUGAUCCAGCAAUGCCGCGUGAGUGAAGAAGGCCUUCGGGUUGUAAAGCUCUUUUGUCAGGGAAGAAACGGUAGAGGCUAAUAUCCUUUGCUAAUGACGGUACCUGAAGAAUAAGCACCGGCUAACUACGUG
RNAcentral lists this ribosomal RNA (481 nucleotides) under uncultured bacterium. RNAcentral's name for it is "partial 16S ribosomal RNA". It matches the Rfam family "Bacterial small subunit ribosomal RNA", at positions 30 to 507 of the family's 1533-position model. The record is from RNAcentral.